Molecule: ribosomal RNA, 244 nt
Filed under: uncultured Actinomycetales bacterium
Lineage: Bacteria; Bacillati; Actinomycetota; Actinomycetes; Actinomycetales
Description: partial 16S ribosomal RNA
Rfam family: Bacterial small subunit ribosomal RNA
Source: RNAcentral
AGUACUCAAGUGGCGAACGGGUGAGUAACACGUGGGUAAUCUGCCCUGCACUCUGGGAUAAGCCUGGGAAACUGGGUCUAAUACUGGAUAUGACCUUUCUCCUUAUGGGUUUGGUGGAAAGUUUUCGGUGUAGGAUGAGCCCGCGGCCUAUCAGCUUGUUGGUGGGGUAAUGGCCUACCAAGGCGGCGACGGGUAGCCGGCCUGAGAGGGUGUACGGCCACAUUGGGACUGAGAUACGGCCCAG